RNAcentral lists this ribosomal RNA (601 nucleotides) under uncultured bacterium. Its description in RNAcentral is "bacterial SSU rRNA". It matches the Rfam family "Bacterial small subunit ribosomal RNA", at positions 735 to 1340 of the family's 1533-position model. The record is from RNAcentral.
CUUUACUGACGCUAAAGCUCGAAAGUGCGGGUAUCGAACAGGAUUAGAUACCCUGGUAGUCCGCACGGUAAACGAUGGAUGCCCGCUGUUUGCGAUAUACUGUAAGCGGCCAAGAGAAAUCGCUAAGCAUCCCACCUGGGGAGUACGCCGGCAACGGUGAAACUCAAAGGAAUUGACGGGGGCCCGCACAAGCGGAGGAACAUGUGGUUUAAUUCGAUGAUACGCGAGGAACCUUACCCGGGCUUGAACUGCAGCAGAACGAGGGAGAGAUCCUGAGGCCCUUCGGGGCUGCUGUGGAGGUGCUGCAUGGUUGUCGUCAGCUCGUGCCGUGAGGUGUCGGCUUAAGUGCCAUAACGAGCGCAACCCCUUUCUUCAGUUGCCAUCAGGUCAUGCUGGGCACUCUGGAGACACUGCCACCGUAAGGUGUGAGGAAGGUGGGGAUGACGUCAAAUCAGCACGGCCCUUACGUCCGGGGCUACACACGUGUUACAAUGGGGAGUACAGAGCGUCAGGCGUUGGCAACACCGCCUUAAUCGUUAAAUCUCUCCUCAGUUCGGAUUGGGGUCUGCAACCCGACCCCAUGAAGCUGGAUUCGCUAGUA